AAACUCAUAGACAGAUUGAUAGCUGAGAGCACUUGCCUUCAGGGAUCUUUCUCAACAUAAGGUGGUCAUUUGUUAGGCCUAAUCAUGUUGUGUAUGCAUUCAGAUCUAGGAUGUAUGGAACUAUACAUAUUAUUUUAUUGCUAAUUUAUUACAGAAAAUCAAAUACUAUAUUGUCAUGAAUAUAUUCCACAUGAAGUAUCAUUUCAGUGCAUGAUGAAUCUUCUUUUAUUUCUUUGUUAUAACCUUUUCCUAAUUGCUUCUACUAGCUCUAUCAUUCCCAAGCCAACUAUGUACCAUGUAAUCCCUGCUAACAUACCAUGUAACCAAGAGCUAUUAACAAUCUCCAAUGCCAAAGCACCACCUAUAUGUUUAUUCAAACUGCCAACAGCCUGAUCUCUUACUAUAAUUGCUGCAAUUGUUGCAAUCACCAUUGGAGCUCUCCAUCUUAUGGGAUUCAUUUGGUUAUCUCCUGUCUUGUAAUCUUUCUCAUCAAGAACUUUUGGCCCUUUAGUAUGUUUUGUAGCCUCUGAGGUGGCUUUAGAGCCAGACUUAUUGGUUGAGGCAGGAAGUGCUCCAGCUGAUGGAAUCCAGUACUCGUCGUGAUAUAGGUUGGAUGGUGCUUGACGAGCAGGUCUUGUGCUUUGGCUUGCAUGCUUUCUGGCUGCAGCGGCUGCCCGGAGCUUGUUAAUGUUUAGUUCGGUUGUAUUUUGAGCAAUCUGUGGGAGGUUUUGGUGAGGUUUUGAUGGGGGUCCUGCUUUUCGUGAUUGCCAAUAUAACCAAUUCGAGAUUGAUCUAAUUGCUUGAAUAGCUGAUAUUCUUGCUUCUCUUUGGAGGUCUGUUUCCUUGGAGCCUUGGGCAUCUGCCUUGUUCAUGGCUUCAACAACUCUGGUUUGGAACUUUUUCAAAUCAACAAAUAUGUUUGAGACACGUGCACCCGCCGUGUUGCCAGCGCCAACUCGCACAUUGCCUCUUGGCUGCUUGGACAUUAGGAACUCUAAUGCUGCUAAAUCUGACCUUUCCACCAUCGAGAUGCAAUCAACUGGACAUGUAUCAAUGGCAGCUUGAAUUUUGUGCUCAGGAUCAGCCCACUGUGCAACCACUCUUGCUCUUCCAUAAACAGAUUCAAUGGCAAAGGUUUUCUCUGCAAAUAAUGCACAUUUCAAGCAACCAACACACUUCACCUCAUCCACAAAUACUGCUCUCUCUUCGCUUUCCGACCCAAACCACACUGAGUAAAUGGGUUUCCCAGUAUACCCACGUAGUUUUGCAAUCUUUGCUUGUUCCUUAUCGUAAGCCAAACGCGAAUUUGGAUCGGAUAGAACAGAGUAAGCUUCGUUAAGAAUGAUAGCCAUGUCAUGCCCCGUAGGCCCGGCGAUGUCUGGGUGGCACCGCUUCUGCAGCGUACGAUAUGCCAUUUUGAUAUGCGAUUGAUCGGAGGAGCUAUCGAUGCCUAGAAGAUCAUAGAGGUCGAAAUCUGUGAUUGAAGAAGAGGUGGAAGCAGCGGGAGGUCUACGACAUGACGCAGAACUGUAACGUAGUUUCUUGGAAUUCGGAGGAAAUGAAGUGAAUGGUUUUGGAGUUAAGUUAUUAGGUAUGAUUGAGGCAGAAGGUAAGAAUGCAGAUGGAAGGAAAGCAGUAGGCAUUUUUUUUAAAAAAAAAUUUAAUUAAUUUCCUCCUCAAAAGAGAAGAUGAGAGAUAUGGCAGAUUUUGUUUGAGUAGGAGAUAUUUGUGGUUCACUUUUUGCUUUUG
RNAcentral lists this unclassified non-coding RNA (1749 nucleotides) under Hevea brasiliensis (rubber tree). The record is from RNAcentral. Lineage: Eukaryota; Viridiplantae; Streptophyta; Magnoliopsida; Malpighiales; Euphorbiaceae.